This 253-nucleotide ribosomal RNA is filed under the name uncultured bacterium. RNAcentral's name for it is "partial 16S ribosomal RNA". It matches the Rfam family "Bacterial small subunit ribosomal RNA", at positions 524 to 776 of the family's 1533-position model. The record is from RNAcentral.
UACGUAGGGGGCUAGCGUUGUCCGGAAUCAUUGGGCGUAAAGCGCGUGUAGGCGGUCCGGUAAGUCCGCUGUGAAAGUCGGGGGCUCAACCCUCGGAUGCCGAUCGAUACUGUCGGGCUAGAGUCCGGAAGAGGCGAGUGGAAUUCCUGGUGUAGCGGUGAAAUGCGCAAAUAUCAGGAGGAACACCAAUGGCGAAGGCAGCUCGCUGGGACGGUACUGACGCUGAGGCGCGAAAGCGUGGGGAGCAAACAGG